CACAGCUGAGCGAGCUAACCUGGAAGAUUUCCUUUGUGUUUCGGUGUGGAUUUUCAUGGAGAGGGGAUGGAGAGAUUUAAGGUCUUAAAUGGAAUCCUUAGUCCUAAACCCGGGUCUUUCUGAUGUCAAAGUUCAUGCUCUUUCUGCUACAGGAGCUACGUCUCUAUACUACGUAAACAAAUGAAGCGAGUCACCUGAAGCUGCUAGGACAAUAAAGCAUUUUCAUUUCA
Molecule: long non-coding RNA, 230 nt
Organism: Neomonachus schauinslandi (Hawaiian monk seal)
Lineage: Eukaryota; Metazoa; Chordata; Mammalia; Carnivora; Phocidae
Exons: 2
Source: RefSeq, a predicted model, not a curated record